UUUAUUUAUUUAUUUAUUUUAAUUUGUUUUUAAUUACUGUUGGACCAUUACUUAUAGAAAAUGUCAGAUUGCUGUUUAGCAGUCUCGCUUGUUAGCUUAACCUGUAAAUUGUGAAGUUCAGCAAAAAUUUUUGAAAGCCCAGCGCAAGCUGCUCAUCAUUCUUUAAGUUGAGUUUGUCUGCAUUUUCCCCUUGUUGCGAAAGUUUUGCUAUGCAGUAUAUUAGCUGCAGAUAGUUUCCAUGAGGUUCUGCUCCCUUAAUGUGAUGGAUAGCAUAUGCAAGGUCCAGGAACUAAGUCACUGGUCUGCUGGACGGGGCUCUGAGUAAUAACUGUUUCUGGCCUACAGCAACCUGGACAGUUCAUGUGCUCGAAUUUCUAAAACCCUCAAUCGCUGUUGCUCACUUUUAUCUUGCAAGUUUAGUUAAGAGAUCUUACUUUAGAAAAGUGCUAUUAGCUAUA
Molecule: unclassified non-coding RNA, 458 nt
Filed under: Hevea brasiliensis (rubber tree)
Lineage: Eukaryota; Viridiplantae; Streptophyta; Magnoliopsida; Malpighiales; Euphorbiaceae
Source: RNAcentral